GGGUUGUGAGGUUAAGCGACUAAGCGUACACGGUGGAUGCCCUGGCAGUCAGAGGCGAUGAAGGACGUGCUAAUCUGCGAUAAGCGUCGGUAAGGUGAUAUGAACCGUUAUAACCGGCGAUUUCCGAAUGGGGAAACCCAGUGUGUUUCGACACACUAUCAUUAACUGAAUCCAUAGGUUAAUGAGGCGAACCGGGGGAACUGAAACAUCUAAGUACCCCGAGGAAAAGAAAUCAACCGAGAUUCCCCCAGUAGCGGCGAGCGAACGGGGAGCAGCCCAGAGCCUGAAUCAGUGUGUGUGUUAGUGGAAGCGUCUGGAAAGGCGCGCGAUACAGGGUGACAGCCCCGUACACAAAAAUGCACAUGCUGUGAGCUCGAUGAGUAGGGCGGGACACGUGGUAUCCUGUCUGAAUAUGGGGGGACCAUCCUCCAAGGCUAAAUACUCCUGACUGACCGAUAGUGAACCAGUACCGUGAGGGAAAGGCGAAAAGAACCCCGGCGAGGGGAGUGAAAAAGAACCUGAAACCGUGUACGUACAAGCAGUGGGAGCCUCUUUUAUGGGGUGACUGCGUACCUUUUGUAUAAUGGGUCAGCGACUUAUAUUCUGUAGCAAGGUUAACCGAAUAGGGGAGCCGAAGGGAAACCGAGUCUUAACUGGGCGUUAAGUUGCAGGGUAUAGACCCGAAACCCGGUGAUCUAGCCAUGGGCAGGUUGAAGGUUGGGUAACACUAACUGGAGGACCGAACCGACUAAUGUUGAAAAAUUAGCGGAUGACUUGUGGCUGGGGGUGAAAGGCCAAUCAAACCGGGAGAUAGCUGGUUCUCCCCGAAAGCUAUUUAGGUAGCGCCUCGUGAAUUCAUCUCCGGGGGUAGAGCACUGUUUCGGCAAGGGGGUCAUCCCGACUUACCAACCCGAUGCAAACUGCGAAUACCGGAGAAUGUUAUCACGGGAGACACACGGCGGGUGCUAACGUCCGUCGUGAAGAGGGAAACAACCCAGACCGCCAGCUAAGGUCCCAAAGUCAUGGUUAAGUGGGAAACGAUGUGGGAAGGCCCAGACAGCCAGGAUGUUGGCUUAGAAGCAGCCAUCAUUUAAAGAAAGCGUAAUAGCUCACUGGUCGAGUCGGCCUGCGCGGAAGAUGUAACGGGGCUAAACCAUGCACCGAAGCUGCGGCAGCGACGCUUAUGCGUUGUUGGGUAGGGGAGCGUUCUGUAAGCCUGUGAAGGUGUGCUGUGAGGCAUGCUGGAGGUAUCAGAAGUGCGAAUGCUGACAUAAGUAACGAUAAAGCGGGUGAAAAGCCCGCUCGCCGGAAGACCAAGGGUUCCUGUCCAACGUUAAUCGGGGCAGGGUGAGUCGACCCCUAAGGCGAGGCCGAAAGGCGUAGUCGAUGGGAAACAGGUUAAUAUUCCUGUACUUGGUGUUACUGCGAAGGGGGGACGGAGAAGGCUAUGUUGGCCGGGCGACGGUUGUCCCGGUUUAAGCGUGUAGGCUGGUUUUCCAGGCAAAUCCGGAAAAUCAAGGCUGAGGCGUGAUGACGAGGCACUACGGUGCUGAAGCAACAAAUGCCCUGCUUCCAGGAAAAGCCUCUAAGCAUCAGGUAACAUCAAAUCGUACCCCAAACCGACACAGGUGGUCAGGUAGAGAAUACCAAGGCGCUUGAGAGAACUCGGGUGAAGGAACUAGGCAAAAUGGUGCCGUAACUUCGGGAGAAGGCACGCUGAUAUGUAGGUGAAGCGACUUGCUCGUGGAGCUGAAAUCAGUCGAAGAUACCAGCUGGCUGCAACUGUUUAUUAAAAACACAGCACUGUGCAAACACGAAAGUGGACGUAUACGGUGUGACGCCUGCCCGGUGCCGGAAGGUUAAUUGAUGGGGUUAGCGCAAGCGAAGCUCUUGAUCGAAGCCCCGGUAAACGGCGGCCGUAACUAUAACGGUCCUAAGGUAGCGAAAUUCCUUGUCGGGUAAGUUCCGACCUGCACGAAUGGCGUAAUGAUGGCCAGGCUGUCUCCACCCGAGACUCAGUGAAAUUGAACUCGCUGUGAAGAUGCAGUGUACCCGCGGCAAGACGGAAAGACCCCGUGAACCUUUACUAUAGCUUGACACUGAACAUUGAGCCUUGAUGUGUAGGAUAGGUGGGAGGCUUAGAAGUGUGGACGCCAGUCUGCAUGGAGCCGACCUUGAAAUACCACCCUUUAAUGUUUGAUGUUCUAACGUUGACCCGUAAUCCGGGUUGCGGACAGUGUCUGGUGGGUAGUUUGACUGGGGCGGUCUCCUCCUAAAGAGUAACGGAGGAGCACGAAGGUUGGCUAAUCCUGGUCGGACAUCAGGAGGUUAGUGCAAUGGCAUAAGCCAGCUUGACUGCGAGCGUGACGGCGCGAGCAGGUGCGAAAGCAGGUCAUAGUGAUCCGGUGGUUCUGAAUGGAAGGGCCAUCGCUCAACGGAUAAAAGGUACUCCGGGGAUAACAGGCUGAUACCGCCCAAGAGUUCAUAUCGACGGCGGUGUUUGGCACCUCGAUGUCGGCUCAUCACAUCCUGGGGCUGAAGUAGGUCCCAAGGGUAUGGCUGUUCGCCAUUUAAAGUGGUACGCGAGCUGGGUUUAGAACGUCGUGAGACAGUUCGGUCCCUAUCUGCCGUGGGCGCUGGAGAACUGAGGGGGGCUGCUCCUAGUACGAGAGGACCGGAGUGGACGCAUCACUGGUGUUCGGGUUGUCAUGCCAAUGGCACUGCCCGGUAGCUAAAUGCGGAAGAGAUAAGUGCUGAAAGCAUCUAAGCACGAAACUUGCCCCGAGAUGAGUUCUCCCUGACUCCUUGAGAGUCCUGAAGGAACGUUGAAGACGACGACGUUGAUAGGCCGGGUGUGUAAGCGCAGCGAUGCGUUGAGCUAACCGGUACUAAUGAACCGUGAGGCUUAACCUUACAACGCCGAAG
This 2925-nucleotide ribosomal RNA is filed under the name Escherichia coli. RNAcentral describes it as "23S ribosomal RNA". It matches the Rfam family "Bacterial large subunit ribosomal RNA". Lineage: Bacteria; Pseudomonadati; Pseudomonadota; Gammaproteobacteria; Enterobacterales; Enterobacteriaceae. The record is from RNAcentral.